RNAcentral lists this unclassified non-coding RNA (329 nucleotides) under soil metagenome. Its description in RNAcentral is "partial contains 5.8S ribosomal RNA, internal transcribed spacer 2, and large subunit ribosomal RNA". The stretch from base 1 to 120 matches the Rfam family "5.8S ribosomal RNA", at positions 35 to 154 of the family's 154-position model. The record is from RNAcentral.
GAUGAAGAACGCAGCGAAAUGCGAUAAGUAAUGUGAAUUGCAGAAUUCAGUGAAUCAUCGAAUCUUUGAACGCACAUUGCGCCCCUUGGUAUUCCGAGGGGCAUGCCUGUUCGAGCGUCAUUAUAACCCCUCAAGCUCAGCUUGGUGUUGGGGCCUGCUGCACUGGCAGCCCUUAAAAUCAGUGGCGGCGCCAUCUGGCUCUAAGCGUAGUAAUUCCUCUCGCUAUGGAGUCCUGGUGGAUGCUUGCCAUCAACCCCCAAUUUUUCUAUGGUUGACCUCGGAUCAGGUAGGGAUACCCGCUGAACUUAAGCAUAUCAAUAAGCGGAGGA